GAGCCUUACUCAUGCAUCCUGCCUCUUCUCUCGGACCUCUGUGACCCCUACCCAUGCCGCCUUCUGACUUGAUUAGAUUUUGCUUGGGUUCUAACGCUAACGAUCCUUGAACUUAACGGGAAUCCUGAAUUCUUUUUACAUUUUUCCCCAUCUCUUCGGGCCACAAACCUUCUAGCCUUUCAAAUGAAAUCAGGUUGAAUGGUGGCAUCUCUCAUAGCUUUGUCUGACCACACCGUCAACUGCUAACAUGAUUCUCCUGACGUCGCAGAAACAACCGCAUCCUAAAGUGUCAACUCAUUGCCCCAGAGGAGCAUUUAUUCUGACAGCCGAGCCUUUUCACCCCACCCCCACAAUCUCAGUUCUCAACUUUGACUCACUUUAACUUUGUACGUCACAAAUUUCUUCUUCCAAGGACUCGAGGAAGCAAAGCUGAAAGCAAAUGAAUGGGGCAGCCAUGAAUUUUGUGCAGAUGGAGAGAAGAGAGGGUGGGGAGGUGGGGGCUGGCUGGAGAAGCUUGCUGUGGACAGGGGAUUAUCUCUCAUCAGCAGAUGCGUCCAUUUCAACCCCCACCUCCACCCCCCGUAAAGACUGUGCCAGACUGAAAGCCAAAGGCCCCCAGUGUGAUCCCAACAACAGAGGUGUAUGUGGGUAUGUUUGUGUUAUGAACCCUCCCUCAAAACUUUGGGCCAUGUUUCAUCUUUACAGGCACAACUAUUCAUUCAGAGCCAGCCCGUCUGGCUGUGUGUUUUUCUUGGUUGGAAUUAUUAACCCCACUUCCUGUUGUCUGGAGACAUGCGGGUUGUGGAGAAGCAUCUUGAGUGGAUGGAUGGCAAAGAAGACAAAUGAACCACUGUUGCCACGAAUGGGAGCCCUAACAAGGUGGUGAAAUGGUAUGGAUGAAGAUCCAGAAGACGAUGGAAGUCUGGAGAGGUCUGGUCAGCAUUGAGUGCUGCCCUGUCUGCUGCUUCAGGAAGAGGAGGAAAUGGAGCUCCCAGUCCUUUACAGGAUUUUUUCCUGGGAAGCUGAGGUGCUUUAAAAAAUACUCAAUCAUCACUAUCAGCUUUACGGAUAUUUUGUGUUAUAUGCUGAUAUUACAGCUUUUCCCAAAAUUCAAUAGGAGCUUUGAUCUACGCUCACGUUUGUGGUAGACACACUCGAGAAGUGGCCCCCAUGACUUCCUUCCCCAGUCCUGGAGUUCACACCCUCGAGUGUGGGAAGACCUGGGACUUCUUCUAACCAACCGACCACCACACAGACGGCCAGAUGUGCAAGGUUACAACCACAUAAGACUUUAGCAUCAGUUUGGCUGGAGUCUGGCUCUCUCUGCCUUGCUGGCUUUGAGGACGCAAGUGAUCCUCUUGGAUAACCCCAUGUGGCAGGAACU
Molecule: long non-coding RNA, 1384 nt
Organism: Equus quagga
Lineage: Eukaryota; Metazoa; Chordata; Mammalia; Perissodactyla; Equidae
Exons: 4
Source: RefSeq, a predicted model, not a curated record